RNAcentral lists this ribosomal RNA (242 nucleotides) under uncultured Actinomycetales bacterium. Its description in RNAcentral is "partial 16S ribosomal RNA". It matches the Rfam family "Bacterial small subunit ribosomal RNA", at positions 88 to 334 of the family's 1533-position model. The record is from RNAcentral. Lineage: Bacteria; Bacillati; Actinomycetota; Actinomycetes; Actinomycetales.
UACUCGAGUGGCGAACGGGUGAGUAACACGUGGGUGAUCUGCCCUGCACUUCGGGAUAAGCUUGGGAAACUGGGUCUAAUACCGGAUAGGAACCAUCUUUAGUGUGGUGGUUGGAAAGUUUUUUCGGUGUAGGAUGAGCUCGCGGCCUAUCAGCUUGUUGGUGGGGUAAUGGCCACCAAGGCGGCGACGGGUAGCCGGCCUGAGAGGGUGUACGGCCACAUUGGGACUGAGAUACGGCCCAG